Molecule: non-coding RNA, 27 nt
Filed under: Rattus norvegicus (Norway rat)
Lineage: Eukaryota; Metazoa; Chordata; Mammalia; Rodentia; Muridae
Source: RNAcentral
AAGCAGACUGAACCUACAGAGACGGAC